AGCUUUUGCAAACCACUGUGACAGCUUAGACUUCGGUCUUUGCAAUUGCUUGGGUGUCGAAAGGCGCCCAAUCUUUAAAACUUUUAUAUUUGUUCUGAAACAAUGAAAAUUUAAAACUUUCAACAACGGAUCUCUUGGUUCUCGUAUCGAUGAAGAACGCAGCAAAGCGCGAUAGGUAAUGCGAAUUGCAGACGUGAGUCAUUGAAUUUUUGAACGCAUAUUGCGCUAUUAGUUUGUCUAAUAGCAUGCUUGUUGGAGUGAUAAUCUUCCUCUCAACCAUUUUUGGUAUGAGGUCUUGCUCCUUUUAGGAGUUAAAAUCAUGGAAGUGCACACGUUAAUUAACUCUGUGCAGUUAUACACUUUUCAUCCUCCAAUCAAGCAAGGUUACCCGCUGAACUUAAGCAUAUCAAUAAGCGGAGGAAGAGAUCAUUUCUGAAGGCUUUUUGCCAAAACCACUGUGAACAGCUUAGACUUCGGUCUUUGCAAUUGCUUGGGUGUCGAAAGGCGCCCAAUCUUUAAAACUUUUAUAUUUGUUCUGAAACAAUGAAAAUUUAAAACUUUCAACAACGGAUCUCUUGGUUCUCGUAUCGAUGAAGAACGCAGCAAAGCGCGAUAGGUAAUGCGAAUUGCAGACGUGAGUCAUUGAAUUUUUGAACGCAUAUUGCGCUAUUAGUUUGUCUAAUAGCAUGCUUGUUGGAGUGAUAAUCUUCUCUCACAUUUUUGGUAUG
RNAcentral lists this ribosomal RNA (728 nucleotides) under Starmerella bacillaris. RNAcentral describes it as "eukaryotic LSU rRNA". The stretch from base 115 to 263 matches the Rfam family "5.8S ribosomal RNA". The record is from RNAcentral. Lineage: Eukaryota; Fungi; Ascomycota; Dipodascomycetes; Dipodascales; Trichomonascaceae.